RNAcentral lists this ribosomal RNA (247 nucleotides) under uncultured bacterium. RNAcentral describes it as "partial 16S ribosomal RNA". It matches the Rfam family "Bacterial small subunit ribosomal RNA", at positions 523 to 769 of the family's 1533-position model. The record is from RNAcentral.
AUACGGAGGAUGCGAGCGUUAUCCGGAUUCAUUGGGUUUAAAGGGUGCGUAGGUGGCCGAUUAAGUCAGCGGUGAAAGUCAGUGGCUCAACCAUUGAACUGCCGUUGAAACUGGUUGGCUUGAGUACGUACGGGGCAGGCGGAAUGCGUGGUGUAGCGGUGAAAUGCAUAGAUAUCGGGAGGAACACCAGUGGCGAAGGCGGCUUCCUGGCACAAUACUGACGCUCAUGUGCGAAAGCUAGGGUAGC